Molecule: transfer RNA, 58 nt
Filed under: Epipenaeon fissurae
Lineage: Eukaryota; Metazoa; Arthropoda; Malacostraca; Isopoda; Bopyridae
Description: tRNA-Gly
Source: RNAcentral
ACUUCUGUAGUAUAUUAUUAGUACGUCUAAUUUCCACUUAGAAAGGGUUUCGGGAGUC